RNAcentral lists this ribosomal RNA (305 nucleotides) under uncultured bacterium. RNAcentral describes it as "bacterial SSU rRNA". It matches the Rfam family "Bacterial small subunit ribosomal RNA", at positions 338 to 639 of the family's 1533-position model. The record is from RNAcentral.
CCUACGGGACGCAGCAGUGAGGAAUAUUGGUCAAUGGCCGAGAGGCUGAACCAGCCAAGUCGCGUGAGGGAUGACGGCCCUACGGGUUGUAAACCUCUUUUGUCGGGGAGCAAGACCCGCCUCGUGCAGGCGGAGCGAGAGUACCCGAAGAAAAAGCAUCGGCUAACUCCGUGCCAGCAGCCGCGGUAAUACGUAGGGGGCAAGCGUUAUCCGGAUUUACUGGGUGUAAAGGGAGCGUAGACGGCAGCGCCAGUCUGGAGUGAAAUGCCGGGGCUCAACCCCGGAACGGCUUUGGAAACUGUGCG